CGAAAGCCUGAAGCAGAGCACAGGUGCCGUGUUCAACCAAAACCCCAUAAUCCGGCUGAGCGAGAACAGGCCGAGUUUCCUAACACCUGUGCGAGUCCUGACACGAUGCCGGAUCGUGACACGGAACCAGGGAUGGGAUCGCGGAACAGGGAGUGAGACUAGACCCAGAAAAACGGGAUUCCGCUCUCACUCCCUGCUCACGGGGCAACAUACUUUCCCACGAGAAAAACCUUUCGGCGCUUUUUUUUUCCGUCCAGGUAGGCGCAGGAGAAACCAGACAGGAGAUACCGGGAGAUGGAUACAUAGAUACUAAACCUGGGAGGACUAGGGGCAUGUUUCCGUGUGUUACGAUAGGGGGGGGCUUCUGACAGCACACAGACACUCACAGGGAUUAAGGAUGAGCUCCAUGAGAAAAUACUGUAGAUAGGCAUCAGCAGGCCGUCUCUGGUCCACAUUAGUGUGUGUUAAGUGUACAAUACGUAUAAUAUACAGCGGUUUGGAUCAAAGUGUCAGGGUGUCAGAAUCCACUGAGUCAACCCGGAGUGGUUGAAUACACCCCUGUAGCUGUCUACCAUGAGUGCAAACACAUUUUGAACAAUGUGGCCCGGGUGUGGUUCCUUCAGCUGGCAUUGGCAUCGCACGUGACCCAUCAAAGGACCUGGACAGCCGCUGGAUGUGGAGAGAUCUCUUUGCUGCGACGCCUCUUCCUGCUCUUUUAAGGAAUACCAAAGGAAGUGAUCAUCAGGGAGAACAACAGAAAAAAAGCCCUGUUUACUGUGGAUGUUAUUUUUAUUACUCGUGUUAAGAGGGAGUUCAAGCUGUUGUUGAAGCACCUCUUCAGGCAAUAUGCCCUCAAACCAGGUUACUAACUGGGGCCCGACCCUGACCUUUGACCUGCAUGUGAAGGGAGCAGCGGAGACAACAACGGUUCAUAUGAGGAAACCGCAAGACGUUUUACUGAAAUUUGUGCCAAAACUUGCAACUUUACAUUAAUAAACGUAUUUAAUAAAAGAAUAUUAAAGGUAACAUUGUAGAACAAAGUAUUCAGAUCCCUUUUCACAAGUAAAAGCAUAAAUACCAUAAUCACUAAAAGUACUGCACUGAAAGUGAGAAUUCUUCAUUCAAAAACUAAUUACGAGCAAAUUCUAAUUGAAGAACUGAAGUUAAGUGAUGGCAAGAGUAUUGAUAUUAUUAAUGAACUAUAUUAAUACUACAAAAUAAAAAAUACUGUAUAACAAGC
This is a long non-coding RNA of Gasterosteus aculeatus aculeatus (three-spined stickleback), 1240 nucleotides long. The record is from Ensembl. Lineage: Eukaryota; Metazoa; Chordata; Actinopteri; Perciformes; Gasterosteidae.